This 384-nucleotide ribosomal RNA is filed under the name Triticum aestivum (bread wheat). RNAcentral describes it as "partial small subunit ribosomal RNA". The record is from RNAcentral. Lineage: Eukaryota; Viridiplantae; Streptophyta; Magnoliopsida; Poales; Poaceae.
AUGGUUAUUUGGCAUGAUAUAUUAUUUGCUAUAAACAUGGUGAGUAAGAAGUUGCAGUCCGCAUCUAUGUGUGUCGACUCUACCUUGCAGCAAAUUGAAGGCGUAAUGCAGUUUUUUGAUAAGUACAGAGAUGAAGGAUUUGCAUCUUGUUUGACUAUCGCCAAAGGUCUUGCAGUUGAUAUGGGCAUAGAACCAUCAUUUCCAAUAAAACGUAAUGUUACUAGGAAGAAACAAUUUGAUGAACCUAAUAACGAUGAAGAAGUUCUAAAAGCUGAGAAGGCGUUCGAAGUUAAUUACUUCUUAGUUCUGGUUGAUAUUGCAAAUGUCUCUCUGAAAACUAGAUUCAAAGAAAGUGUUCAAAAGUAUAUUUGGUUUCUCACUUAG